Molecule: ribosomal RNA, 497 nt
Filed under: uncultured bacterium
Lineage: Bacteria
Description: partial 16S ribosomal RNA
Rfam family: Bacterial small subunit ribosomal RNA
Source: RNAcentral
GAUGAACGCUGGCGGCGUGCCUAAUACAUGCAAGUCGAGCGAACAGACGAUGAGCUUGCUCCUCUGACGUUAGCGGCGGACGGGUGAGUAACACGUGGAUAACCUACCUCUAAGACUGGGAUAACUUCGUGAAACCGGAUCUAAUACUGGAUAAUAUAUUGAACCGCAUGGUUCAAUAGUGCAUGACGGUUUUGCUGUCACUUAUAGAUGGAUCCGCGCCGCAUUAGCUAGUUGGUAAGGUAACGGCUUACCAAGGCGACGAUGCGUAGCCGACCUGAGAGGAUGAUCGGCCACACUGGAACUGAGACACGGUCCAGACUCCUACGGGAGGCAGCAGUAGGGAAUCUUCCGCAAUGGGCGCAAGCCUGACGGAGCAACGCCGCGUGAGUGAUGAAGGUCUUCGGAUCGUAAAACUCUGUUAUUAGGGAAGAACAAAUGUGUAAGUAACUAUGCAUGUCUUGACGGUACCUAAUUAGAAAGCCACGGCUAACUACGUG